This is a long non-coding RNA of Lepisosteus oculatus (spotted gar), 382 nucleotides long. RefSeq lists it as uncharacterized. The record is from RefSeq and is a predicted model, not a curated record. NCBI's taxonomy places the organism in Eukaryota, Metazoa, Chordata, Actinopteri, Semionotiformes, Lepisosteidae.
CUUUGGAGUAGGAGGAAAGAUCCGCGAUGUUUUGUUUAUGUAACAGAAACUUGUAUAAAGAGCAUCUUCCUAUUAAGCUCCCCAGCCUUCCUGUCCUCUACAACCGUCUGAAGGCCGAAGCGCAGAGCUCCCGUGAAGCGUGAAACUGGGGAGAUGAGCGGCGAAUUCAAAGAUUAGUUGAUCCCGGAGAGCAGCCGAACUCACCUCGCGGUCCCAGGUUACCCACCGUCUCUCCGGCUGUGUCCUGAAAGAGCAGCGUUUUUCUCUCCCGGAGCUCCAGACCCCUGACCGCCUGAGCGAUGUUCAAUACUGGCUAAUAACGGCUGGAUUCGUUACGCCUGUACUGCUGUUUAAUUUUUCAAUAAACUAAUGUAUUCCAGGA